AUGCCUGCAUAUUUGUCAAUAUUCUAUCAGAAGCAGUUUGCUGCGCACUUAAGUGUAACAGAAGUUUCAGCAUUGGAGUCAGUUUCUUCGUUGUCUUCAGUGUUCUUAUGGCGAAGGAAGUCCCCGGUUUGUAUAGGCGAUUGUGUGCACAUGAAUAUUUUUCAUAAUAUACAAUUAAAUUUUAUAGUAAACACUUCUAUGAUGGUGAAGUUUUUUCUGGAUCUGACCAAGAUGGACAAUGUAACCUGGGACAAUACUUUGUAUCAUAGGAAAUUUUCCAAGUCUUCAGUGUUCUUAUCUUCGACAUAUUCAGUGUUCUUCCCUUCAGGAUCCCUGUAA
This 339-nucleotide ribosomal RNA is filed under the name Triticum aestivum (bread wheat). RNAcentral describes it as "partial small subunit ribosomal RNA". The record is from RNAcentral. Lineage: Eukaryota; Viridiplantae; Streptophyta; Magnoliopsida; Poales; Poaceae.